GUUCUGUAGGUGAACCUGCGGAAGGAUCAUUAUUGUAUAACCGAGGUGCGAGGGCUGUCGCUGACCCGAAAGGUCGUGCACGCCCGAGUGCCCUCACACACAUCCAUCUCACCCCUAUGUGCACCACCGCGUGGGUCCCCCUUUGGCUUGUUCGGAGGGGGGCUUACGUUUUCACACAAACUUUGUAUGCAGUGUAGAAUGUAUUUUUUGUUUUUGCGAUCACGCAAUCAAUACAACUUUCAACAACGGAUCUCUUGGCUCUC
This 263-nucleotide unclassified non-coding RNA is filed under the name plant metagenome. Its description in RNAcentral is "partial contains small subunit ribosomal RNA, internal transcribed spacer 1, and 5.8S ribosomal RNA". The record is from RNAcentral.